AUGGAAGCUGAUAAGUGGGCAAGUUUUUCAGAAGAAACUAGUGAUUCUGAAGGCUACGGGGAGGAUCCUGACGAUGAUGACCAUUGUUGUGCAUAUGCAUCCACUGAUAUACCCAAGUUGCAGUUCAGGAAAGAUAUCUCAAGAUCACGAUGGCUUGAUCCAUUAGGAAUGGCUGAGGUCGUGGAGAGGAAGGGUGGAUUGUGGACAACUACUGGGAUAGUUCGUAAUGGCAAGAUAUAUUGCUUCAUCGAAGAGAUUUUAUAUCUUGCCGAAAUUGGGGCUCUACAUCUCCUCAGUAAAGAUGACACACCCCUUUCUCUGGAACAUGUAUACAACAAGGUUGCAGAAGGAAAAAGUGGAUGUUCCUUGGAAUAUUAUGAAGCAUAUAAGCACUUGAAAUCUCUUGGUUAUAUAGUUAGGCGUCAUGGUAUUCCUUGGUCAGUAAGAAGGUCAAAAGUAAAUUGUGUUGUUAACCAAGACACGCCUGAGCCUGCACAAAGUGGAGAUGAAGAAUCAAGAAACAGUUUUCUCAUCUCUGAAAUGAUUAAUAAUAUGCAGAUUGGUGGAUUGAGACUGGCCUUUGACGUUUACCCUCCUAAUAGCAGAUUCAGAAAGUCUGCUCCUGGUGAUCCCUGUUUUGUACUUUGUCUUGCUAGUGAGUAUCCACCUUCCAAAGAAGAAAUUGAAGAUCUUGAGAGACAUUCUCAUGGUGUUCCGUUGAAAUUCUGUCUUGUUGAGCAUGGACGUUUGAACUUUUUUUCAUUCAACAAAGUUGAGCUCCCUAUCCUUCCAUGAUCCUUUAGAGCAACAGUUACAAAUCUUGGCAUGCCCUGUGAAGAGCUAUGCAGAUUCGUCUUUUUUGCCUUCAGUGCUAACGUACGUGCUGGGGAAAUUUGCUUAAAACUGAUCCAUCUGUUAAGAUGAGGGGCGGAUCUAGAAGGUUGUUAGGGUGUUUUACGAGAACGUGUUUUAUUCUUGUUAAGUUCAAACUUCAUGCAUUGUUUUUUUUUUCGAAACACCCUUAGUGAAAAUCUUGAAUCAGCUAUAAUAGUCGAGUCUUGGUUGGACACCUUCACUUGCAACAUGUUAGAGAAGAUUUUCAAGUUGAUCGUUGCAUCGAUCAAUGUGGUUAUAUGGAUAUGUGAUGACAGCGAACAAUUUAUUUUAUA
Solanum pennellii is the source of this 1169-nucleotide RNA transcript. It is a transcript of the gene named tRNA-splicing endonuclease subunit Sen54-like, with no coding region annotated. The transcript is spliced from 6 exons. The record is from RefSeq and is a predicted model, not a curated record. Lineage: Eukaryota; Viridiplantae; Streptophyta; Magnoliopsida; Solanales; Solanaceae.